RNAcentral lists this ribosomal RNA (433 nucleotides) under uncultured bacterium. RNAcentral describes it as "partial 16S ribosomal RNA". It matches the Rfam family "Bacterial small subunit ribosomal RNA", at positions 29 to 507 of the family's 1533-position model. The record is from RNAcentral.
AACGAACGCUGGCGGCAUGCCUAACACAUGCAAGUCGAACGAGACCUUCGGGUCUAGUGGCGCACGGGUGCGUAACGCGUGGGAACCUUCCCUUAGGUUCGGAAUACCUCCCCGACAGGGGUGCUAAUACCGGAUAAUGUCUUCGGACCAAAGAUUUAUCGCCUUGGGAUGGGCCCGCGUUGGAUUAGCUAGUUGGUAUGGUAAAAGCCUACCAAGGCGACGAUCCAUAGCUGGUCUGAGAGGAUGAUCAGCCACACUGGGACUGAGACACGGCCCAGACUCCUACGGGAGGCAGCAGUGGGGAAUAUUGGACAAUGGGCGAAAGCCUGAUCCAGCAAUGCCGCGUGAGUGAUGAAGGCCUUAGGGUUGUAAAGCUCUUUUACCCGGGAUGAUAAUGACAGUACCGGGAGAAUAAGCUCCGGCUAACUCCGUG